RNAcentral lists this ribosomal RNA (506 nucleotides) under uncultured bacterium. RNAcentral's name for it is "bacterial SSU rRNA". It matches the Rfam family "Bacterial small subunit ribosomal RNA", at positions 28 to 527 of the family's 1533-position model. The record is from RNAcentral.
GACGAACGCUGGCGGCGUGGAUUAGGCAUGCAAGUCGAACGGUAUCAUCCUUUCGGGGGUGAGAGAGUGGCGAACUGGUGAGUAACACGUAGGUUAUCUACCCUCAAGACGGGGACAACCCAGGGAAACUUGGGCUAAUACCGGAUGUGAGCAACUUUUAGUUGUUUGAAAGGUGGCGUAAGCUGUCGCUUGGGGAUGAGCCUGCGUCCUAUUAGUUAGUUGGUGAGGUAACGGCUCACCUAGGCAAUGAUAGGUAGGCGGCCUUAACGGGUGGUCGCCCACACUGGGAUUGAGAUACGGCCCAGACUCCUACGGGAGGCAGCAGUCGAGAAUAGUCUACAAUGGUCGGAAGACUGAUAGUGCGACGCCGCGUGAACGAUGAAUCCCUUCGGGGUGUAAAGUUCUUUUAUAUGUGAGCAGUGCCUCUUAUAUUAACAGUAUGGGGAGAGAGAUAUUAGCAUAUGAAUAAGCAACGGCUAACUCCGUGCCAGCAGCCGCGGUAAACG